This 751-nucleotide ribosomal RNA is filed under the name uncultured marine bacterium. RNAcentral describes it as "bacterial SSU rRNA". It matches the Rfam family "Bacterial small subunit ribosomal RNA", at positions 57 to 803 of the family's 1533-position model. The record is from RNAcentral.
GCAAGUCGAGCGGAUGAAGGUAGCUUGCUACCUGAUUCAGCGGCGGACGGGUGAGUAAUGCCUAGGAAUCUGCCUGGUAGUGGGGGACAACGUUUCGAAAGGAACGCUAAUACCGCAUACGUCCUACGGGAGAAAGUGGGGGAUCUUCGGACCUCACGCUAUCAGAUGAGCCUAGGUCGGAUUAGCUAGUUGGUGAGGUAAUGGCUCACCAAGGCGACGAUCCGUAACUGGUCUGAGAGGAUGAUCAGUCACACUGGAACUGAGACACGGUCCAGACUCCUACGGGAGGCAGCAGUGGGGAAUAUUGGACAAUGGGCGAAAGCCUGAUCCAGCCAUGCCGCGUGCGUGAAGAAGGUCUUCGGAUUGUAAAGCACUUUAAGUUGGGAGGAAGGGUUGUAACCUAAUACGUUGCAAUUUUGACGUUACCGACAGAAUAAGCACCGGCUAACUCUGUGCCAGCAGCCGCGGUAAUACAGAGGGUGCAAGCGUUAAUCGGAAUUACUGGGCGUAAAGCGCGCGUAGGUGGUUUGUUAAGUUGGAUGUGAAAGCCCCGGGCUCAACCUGGGAACUGCAUCCAAAACUGGCAAGCUAGAGUACGGUAGAGGGUGGUGGAAUUUCCUGUGUAGCGGUGAAAUGCGUAGAUAUAGGAAGGAACACCGGUGGCGAAGGCGACCACCUGGACUGAUACUGACACUGAGGUGCGAAAGCGUGGGGAGCAAACAGGAUUAGAUACCCUGGUAGUCCACGCCGU